Molecule: ribosomal RNA, 629 nt
Filed under: Staphylococcus aureus
Lineage: Bacteria; Bacillati; Bacillota; Bacilli; Caryophanales; Staphylococcaceae
Description: partial 23S ribosomal RNA
Rfam family: Bacterial large subunit ribosomal RNA
Source: RNAcentral
GAAUGAACCGGCGAGUUACGAUUUGAUGCAAGGUUAAGCAGUAAAUGUGGAGCCGUAGCGAAAGCGAGUCUGAAUAGGGCGUUUAGUAUUUGGUCGUAGACCCGAAACCAGGUGAUCUACCCUUGGUCAGGUUGAAGUUCAGGUAACACUGAAUGGAGGACCGAACCGACUUACGUUGAAAAGUGAGCGGAUGAACUGAGGGUAGCGGAGAAAUUCCAAUCGAACCUGGAGAUAGCUGGUUCUCUCCGAAAUAGCUUUAGGGCUAGCCUCAAGUGAUGAUUAUUGGAGGUAGAGCACUGUUUGGACGAGGGGCCCCUCUCGGGUUACCGAAUUCAGACAAACUCCGAAUGCCAAUUAAUUUAACUUGGGAGUCAGAACAUGGGUGAUAAGGUCCGUGUUCGAAAGGGAAACAGCCCAGACCACCAGCUAAGGUCCCAAAAUAUAUGUUAAGUGGAAAAGGAUGUGGCGUUGCCCAGACAACUAGGAUGUUGGCUUAGAAGCAGCCAUCAUUUAAAGAGUGCGUAAUAGCUCACUAGUCGAGUGACACUGCGCCGAAAAUGUACCGGGGCUAAACAUAUUACCGAAGCUGUGGAUUGUCCUUUGGACAAUGGUAGGAGAGCGUUCUAAGG